GCCCGGGUGGUGAAACAGGUAGACACAACGGACUUAAAAUCCGUCGCCCUUUAACAAGGCGUACCGGUUCGAUUCCGGUCCCGGGUACCA
This 90-nucleotide transfer RNA is filed under the name Burkholderiales bacterium. Its description in RNAcentral is "tRNA-Leu". It matches the Rfam family "tRNA". From Rfam's summary of the family: Transfer RNA (tRNA) molecules are approximately 80 nucleotides in length. Their secondary structure includes four short double-helical elements and three loops (D, anti-codon, and T loops). The record is from RNAcentral. Lineage: Bacteria; Pseudomonadati; Pseudomonadota; Betaproteobacteria; Burkholderiales.